GAGUUUGAUCCUGGCUCAGAUUGAACGCUGGCGGCAGGCCUAACACAUGCAAGUCGAACGAGCUGAGACCUUCGGGUCUCUAUGCUAGUGGCGCACGGGUGAGUAACGCGUGGGAAUAUGCCCUUCAGUACGGAAUAACUCAGGGAAACUUGGGCUAAUACCGUAUACGCCCUCCGGGGGAAAGAUUUAUCGCUGAAGGAUUAGCCCGCGUCUGAUUAGGUAGUUGGUGAGGUAACGGCUCACCAAGCCGACGAUCAGUAGCUGGUCUGAGAGGAUGAUCAGCCACACUGGGACUGAGACACGGCCCAGACUCCUACGGGAGGCAGCAGUGGGGAAUAUUGGACAAUGGGCGAAAGCCUGAUCCAGCCAUGCCGCGUGAGUG
This 382-nucleotide ribosomal RNA is filed under the name uncultured Alphaproteobacteria bacterium. RNAcentral's name for it is "bacterial SSU rRNA". It matches the Rfam family "Bacterial small subunit ribosomal RNA", at positions 9 to 407 of the family's 1533-position model. Lineage: Bacteria; Pseudomonadati; Pseudomonadota; Alphaproteobacteria. The record is from RNAcentral.